ACACUGUGCUCUAGUGAGAAAAAAAAACCCGAUGUACGUUCGAUUUUUAUAAUCGAACGGUUUAGACAUAGCGUGCGGAGUUGAUAAAAUUGCGGGAUCGCAUCGGUUUGGUUUCCUCACCGUACUUAUUUGUCAUCUCAUGUUGAACAAGUGCGGUGAAGACACCAAAUCCGACUAGGCGUAAUCCCGCACGUUUAAUCACAAACCAGCAUUUCUACCCACACGCAACGUGCGCAACGCGCUAUCCUUCAUUCCACGGCAGCAACAAUUUUUCUUUCCAAGAUCCUACGAGCCGGUCCCCAACGACUCGCGGCGAGCGUUAGUCAAAACUCGCAGUGAGCUUUCAUUGCUACUUGCACUCUUCCCCGAUCGCAACAUUCCCCGAAGAGUUGUUAGAAUCGAGCCAGACUGAGUGGCAAAAUGCGCAAACACUCUCCCCGCAGAAGGCUCUCACAAGCCUCCCGACGAUGCUAUCGGUUCAUUCAUUCGGGAAUAAUGCUUUGCUUUCGUUUUUCCGAACGCGUUCAUAAGCGGCAAGCGAUUUCGAGUCGCACGAGGCGAGUAUCAGUAACCUUGAUGAACCAUUCCCUGACUUCAUCUGACUAACGUAACAGUUACCGGUCCUCUGGUGAUUUUCACUGUGAUGAACCCAUCGAUUCUACGAGGAAUUUGCGUACUUGGAGUUCAUUCCGAGCGUGUUCAUUCCUCGAUUCAUUUUAUUUUUCGAUAAAUAGUAAAGAUGGCGUGAGUUGGAAAUCAACGUAAAGAUUUAGGAGACUUGUUAUCAAUUUGAUCAAAUUCUAAGAUCAUCGAACCAUUUUUCGGACAGCAUUAUUGUUAGCAAUGCAGAUCACAUUGGUACAUGAUUCUGGAAGAGCUGGUGGCUAUCCCGUUGGUGAAGUUCAAGCAAAAGUGGCCUGGAACUGUCUGACGAAAGAUUCGAGGAUAACGAGCCGAAAACCCACAUCAAAUCCAGGCAAUCUAGUACAGGACCAAAUUUAAUAUCAGAUGUGUCAGCAUUGCUACGCCGAAUGUGUAAUACUGUGUGCCAAAACAUUGGAUCAAUAAAUGUUAUGUUUUAUUUUGAA
Molecule: long non-coding RNA, 1088 nt
Organism: Aedes aegypti (yellow fever mosquito)
Lineage: Eukaryota; Metazoa; Arthropoda; Insecta; Diptera; Culicidae
Exons: 3
Source: RefSeq, a predicted model, not a curated record